UGGGGAAUAUUGCGCAAUGAGGGCAACCCUGACGCAGCAAUACCGCGUGAGUGAAGAAGGUUUUCGGAUCGUAAAGCUCUGUUAUUGGGGAAGAAAAAAGACGGUACCCAAGAAGAAAGUCCCGGCUAACUACGUGCCAGCAGCCGCGGUAAUACGUAGGGGACAAGCGUUGUCCGGAUUUACUGGGCGUAAAGGGCACGCAGGCGGUUUUUUAAGUCAGAUGUGAAAGGUACCGGCUCAACCGGUGACAUGCAUUUGAAACUGAAAGACUUGAGUAUCGGAGAGGCAAGUGGAAUUCCUAGUGUAGCGGUGAAAUGCGUAGAUAUUAGGAGGAACACCGGUGGCGAAGGCGGCUUGCUGGACAAAUACUGACGCUGAGGUGCGAAAGCGUGGGGAGCAAACAG
This 404-nucleotide ribosomal RNA is filed under the name uncultured bacterium. RNAcentral's name for it is "bacterial SSU rRNA". It matches the Rfam family "Bacterial small subunit ribosomal RNA", at positions 355 to 775 of the family's 1533-position model. The record is from RNAcentral.